AGUGAACGCUGGCGGUAGGCCUAACACAUGCCAGUCGAACGGCAGCACAGUAAGAGCUUGCUCUUACGGGUGGCGAGUGGCGGACGGGUGAGGAAUACAUCGGAAUCUACUUUUUCGUGGGGGAUAACGUAGGGAAACUUACGCUAAUACCGCAUACGACCUACGGGUGAAAGCAGGGGAUCUUCGGACCUUGCGCGAUUGAAUGAGCCGAUGUCGGAUUAGCUAGUUGGCGGGGUAAAGGCCCACCAAGGCGACGAUCCGUAGCUGGUCUGAGAGGAUGAUCAGCCACACUGGAACUGAGACACGGUCCAGACUCCUACGGGAGGCAGCAGUGGGGAAUAUUGGACAAUGGGCGCAAGCCUGAUCCAGCCAUACCGCGUGAGUGAAGAAGGCCUUCGGGUUGGAAAGCCCUUUUGUUGGGAAAGAAAAGCAGCAGGUUAAUACCCCGCUGUUCUGACGGUACCCAAAGAAUAAGCACCGGCUAACUUCGUG
Molecule: ribosomal RNA, 492 nt
Filed under: uncultured bacterium
Lineage: Bacteria
Description: partial 16S ribosomal RNA
Rfam family: Bacterial small subunit ribosomal RNA
Source: RNAcentral